UCGAAAGCCUGUCUCAGUUCGGAUUGGAGGCUGAAACCCGCCUCCAUGAAGUUGGAUUCGCUAGUAAUCGCGCAUCAGCCAUGGCGCGGUGAAUACGUUCCCGGGCCUUGUACACACCGCCCGUCAAGCCAUGGGAGCCGGGGGUGCCUGAAGUUCGUGACCGCAAGGAGCGACCUAGGGCAAAACUGGUGACUGGGGCUAAGUCGUAACAAGGUACC
This 218-nucleotide ribosomal RNA is filed under the name uncultured bacterium. RNAcentral's name for it is "partial 16S ribosomal RNA". It matches the Rfam family "Bacterial small subunit ribosomal RNA", at positions 1275 to 1500 of the family's 1533-position model. The record is from RNAcentral.